GUCUACUGCCAUACCACCCUGAACAUGCCCAAUCUCAUCUGAUCUCAGAAAUUAAGCAGGGUCAGGCCUGGUUAGUACUUGGAUGGAAGAAAAUAAUACAAUGACA
RNAcentral lists this ribosomal RNA (106 nucleotides) under Microcebus murinus (gray mouse lemur). Lineage: Eukaryota; Metazoa; Chordata; Mammalia; Primates; Cheirogaleidae. The record is from RNAcentral.